UACGUAGGGGACGAGCGUUGUCCGGAAUUAUUGGGCGUAAAGAGCGUGUAGGCGGCUUAUCAAGUCCUGCGUGAAAUCUCGGGGCUCAACCUCGAGCUGUCGGUGGAAACCGUAAGGCUAGAGUCCGGAAGAGGAGAGUGGAAUUCCUGGAUGUAGCGGUGAAAUGCGCAGAUAUCAGGAGGAACACCGAUGGCGAAGGCAGAUCUCUGGGCCGUAACUGACGCUGAGGAGCGAAAGCAUGGGGAGCGAACAGG
RNAcentral lists this ribosomal RNA (254 nucleotides) under uncultured bacterium. Its description in RNAcentral is "partial 16S ribosomal RNA". It matches the Rfam family "Bacterial small subunit ribosomal RNA", at positions 524 to 776 of the family's 1533-position model. The record is from RNAcentral.